UCCAUGCUUCCAAGAAAAGCAUCUAGAGAGAGAAGUAGUGCCCGUACCGCAAACCGACACAGGUAGAUGAGGAGAGAAUCCUAAGGCCGGCGGAAGAAUUGCAGUUAAGGAACUAGGCAAAUUGACCCCGUAAGUUCGCGAGAAGGGGUGCCUGUGAGAGCAGGCCGCAGAGAAUAGGCCCAAGCAACUGUUUAGCAAAAACACAGGUCUCUGCUAAAGCGUAAGCUGAUGUAUAGGGGCUGACGCCUGCCCGGUGCUGGAAGGUUAAGGGGAACACUUAGCGCAAGCGAAGGUGUGAACUUAAGCCCCAGUAAACGGCGGCCGUAACAAUAACGGUCCUAAGGUAGCGAAAUUCCUUGUCAGGUAAGUUCUGACCCGCACGAAUGGCGUAAUGACUUGGGCACUGUCUCAACUGCAAAUCCGGCGAAGUUGUAGUGCGAGUGAAGAUGCUCGCUACCCGCGAUUGGACGGAAAGACCCCGUAGAGCUUUACUGUAGCUUAGCAUUGAAUUCCGGUAUUGUCUGUACAGGAUAGGUGGGAGACUGGGAAACUAGGGCGUCAGCCUUAGUGGAGUCAACCUUGGGAUACCACCCUGACAGUACUGGGGUUCUAACAGGACGCCAUGAAACUGGUGACUGGACAUUGUUAGGUGGGCAGUUUGACUGGGGCGGUCGCCUCCUAAAAAGUAACGGAGGCGCCCAAAGGUUCCCUCAGAACGGUCGGAAAUCGUUCGUAGAGUGCAAAGGCAGAAGGGAGCCUGACUGCGAGACCCACAAGUCGAGCAGGGACGAAAGUCGGGCUUAGUGAUCCGGUGGUACCUCGUGGGAGGGCCAUCGCUCAACGGAUAAAAGCUACCUCGGGGAUAACAGGCUGAUCUCCCCCAAGAGUCCACAUCGACGGGGAGGUUUGGCACCUCGAUGUCGGCUCGUCGCAUCCUGGGGCUGUAGUAGGUCCCAAGGGUUGGGCUGUUCGCCCAUUAAAGCGGCACGCGAGCUGGGUUCAGAACGUCGUGAGACAGUUCGGUCCCUAUCCGUCGCGGGCGUAGGAAAUUUGAGAGGAGCUGUCCUUAGUACGAGAGGACCGGGAUGGACUGACCUCUGGUGCACCAGUUGUUCUGCCAAGAGCAUAGCUGGGUAGCUAAGUCGGGAAGGGAUAAACGCUGAAAGCAUCUAAGCGUGAAGCCCCCCUCAAGAUGAGAUUUCCCAUAGCAUAAGCUAGUAAGACCCCUUGAAGAACACAAGGUUGAUAGGUCAGAGGUGGAAGUGCGGUAACGUAUGUAGCUGACUGAUACUAAUAGGUCGAGGGCUUGAUC
RNAcentral lists this ribosomal RNA (1312 nucleotides) under metagenome. Its description in RNAcentral is "bacterial LSU rRNA". It matches the Rfam family "Bacterial large subunit ribosomal RNA", at positions 1599 to 2925 of the family's 2925-position model. The record is from RNAcentral.